This 660-nucleotide ribosomal RNA is filed under the name Tetrabothrus laticornis. Its description in RNAcentral is "partial large subunit ribosomal RNA". It matches the Rfam family "Eukaryotic large subunit ribosomal RNA", at positions 381 to 821 of the family's 3401-position model. Lineage: Eukaryota; Metazoa; Arthropoda; Insecta; Coleoptera; Staphylinidae. The record is from RNAcentral.
GAGAGAGUUCAUAGUACGUGAACCGUUUAGGGGUAAACCUGAGAAACCCGAAAGUUCGAACGGGGAGAUUCAGCGUGUCUCGGCUGGCGCGAGUUGCUCCUGGAUGACAAAUGUCGCUUGCGGCAGAUGCUCCUUGGGCCUCCGACGUUUGACGAACGCGUGCACUUCUCCUCCAGUAGGACGUCGCGACCCGUUGUGUGUCGGUCUGAGGCUUGCAGUGGAGCCCGUACGUCGGUUUCGGCCGUGCGUGCGGACCUGUGAUGUCCCGGCCUUCGCUUGACGGUAGAAUAAUGGCGCAGAGCCGCGAUUUGCUCGCGUUCGGCCUGGUGCAAGCGCAAUCGGUUACCCGUUCGUCGGACUUGUCCGACCUCGGGGCCUGUUGGCUGUUGGCGCCAGUGUCCCCGAACAGACUCUGAUCACGCCUGUCUGCGGCGCUAUAGCUUUGGGUACUUUCAGGACCCGUCUUGAAACACGGACCAAGGAGUCUAGCAUGUGCGCGAGUCAUUGGGACUUAUGAAUCCUAAAGGCGCAAUGAAAGUGAAUGUGAGCUUCGUGCUCUCAAAGGGAAGAUGGGUGACGCAAGUCGCCUCGCACUCCCAGGGCGUCUCGUUCUCAUUGCGAGAUGAGGCGCACCCAGAGCGUACACGCUGGGACCCGAAA